AUUGAACGCUGGCGGCAGGCCUAACACAUGCAAGUCGAGCGGUAACAGAGAGAAGCUUGCUUCUCUGCUGACGAGCGGCGGACGGGUGAGUAAUACUUGGGAAUUUGCCUUUAGGCGGGGGACAACCACGGGAAACUGUGGCUAAUACCGCAUAAUGUCUACGGACCAAAGUGGGGGACCUUCGGGCCUCACACCUAAAGAUGAGCCCAAGCGGGAUUAGCUAGUUGGUGGGGUAAAGGCUCACCAAGGCGACGAUCCCUAGCUGUUCUGAGAGGAUGAUCAGCCACACUGGGACUGAGACACGGCCCAG
RNAcentral lists this ribosomal RNA (310 nucleotides) under uncultured Idiomarina sp. RNAcentral describes it as "bacterial SSU rRNA". It matches the Rfam family "Bacterial small subunit ribosomal RNA", at positions 30 to 334 of the family's 1533-position model. Lineage: Bacteria; Pseudomonadati; Pseudomonadota; Gammaproteobacteria; Alteromonadales; Idiomarinaceae. The record is from RNAcentral.